UUGAGCGUGAUUUUAUUCCUGAAGAGACAAGAUGGAGAGACUCAGCCACAACAUGCGCUUCGUCCAAUGCGAGCACAGAGAUCAGCAGUGAUACAGGUGUCCUCAGACUGACAGUGAUGCCUCAAGGGAGAAAUGGAGGAAAAAAAUGAUAAUUGGUUGCAUGCUGCAUGUGACAGCUACGUCCAGAGACAUAUCAUUUGGACACGUUGGAGAUGAUGGUAUGUG
Long non-coding RNA from Notothenia coriiceps (black rockcod), 225 nucleotides. RefSeq lists it as uncharacterized. Lineage: Eukaryota; Metazoa; Chordata; Actinopteri; Perciformes; Nototheniidae. The transcript is spliced from 3 exons. The record is from RefSeq and is a predicted model, not a curated record.